RNAcentral lists this transfer RNA (90 nucleotides) under Roseivivax halodurans JCM 10272. Its description in RNAcentral is "tRNA-Ser". It matches the Rfam family "tRNA". Rfam says of the family: Transfer RNA (tRNA) molecules are approximately 80 nucleotides in length. Their secondary structure includes four short double-helical elements and three loops (D, anti-codon, and T loops). The record is from RNAcentral. Lineage: Bacteria; Pseudomonadati; Pseudomonadota; Alphaproteobacteria; Rhodobacterales; Roseobacteraceae.
GGAGGGAUGGCAGAGCGGUCGAUUGCACCGUCUUGGAAAGGCGGCGGACCUUCACGGGUCCCGCGAGUUCGAAUCUCGCUCCCUCCGCCA